AUCGCUGGCUUAUAUGCUAACUCUAUGUUUAACUUUUUGAGGAACUGCCAACUGCUUUCCAAAGCGACAGUGGAGAUUCUGUUUUUUAAGAAUCAGAUCCACGAAUUUUGGAUAUGUCACACGAUUGACUUUUUCGUCCUUUUCAACAGCUACAGAUUUCAAUGAGGACAAUAAAGGAGCAUAAGAUCGAGAGGUUUCACUGAGCACGGCUUUUUCAUCAAAGAAGAUUAUGUCAACAAUAUUUUAUGACUCCUGAUACUGUAACUUGAAAAAGUAAAUAGUGAAAGUACUCCGGAUAUGUUGGAAGUGCUUUUGCAACCUGGAGAAUACCUGAGAAGAGACACUGCCACUGUGGUACAGAAACUGUAUGCCAAUUCAGUUGGCAUACAGGGAGAAAUUGAAUUGACCUGGAUAUAUGGAAUCUUGGCAUGCACAGCAUAAACGCACUAGAAUAUAGGAUAGAAAGAUGGGAGGCAUCUGAGAUGAACUACCUUGAGGCUAUCAUUG
This is a long non-coding RNA of Pan troglodytes (chimpanzee), 507 nucleotides long. RefSeq lists it as uncharacterized. NCBI's taxonomy places the organism in Eukaryota, Metazoa, Chordata, Mammalia, Primates, Hominidae. The transcript has 4 exons. The record is from RefSeq and is a predicted model, not a curated record.